This 377-nucleotide ribosomal RNA is filed under the name uncultured eukaryote. RNAcentral's name for it is "partial 18S ribosomal RNA". It matches the Rfam family "Eukaryotic small subunit ribosomal RNA", at positions 592 to 976 of the family's 1831-position model. The record is from RNAcentral.
CAAUAGCGUAUAUUAAAGUUGUUGCAGUUAAAAAGCUCGUAGUUGGAUUUCGGGGCAGCCUGGCUGGUCCGCCGCAAGGCGAGUACUGGUCAGCCGCCCUUCCUCUCGAAAGCCCCGACUGCUCUUUAUUGCAGUGGUCGGGUAGUUCGGGACGUUUACUUUGAAAAAAUUAGAGUGUUCAAGGCAGGCCUACGCCUGAAUACAUUAGCAUGGAAUAAUGGAAGAGGACCUCGGUCCUAUUUUGUUGGUUUCCAGGACCGAAGUAAUGAUUAAGAGGGACAGUUGGGGGCAUUCGUAUUUAAUUGUCAGAGGUGAAAUUCUCGGAUUUAUGAAAGACGAACAACUGCGAAAGCAUUUGCCAAGGAUUUUUUCAUUAA